This 367-nucleotide non-coding RNA is filed under the name Clostridium sp. CAG:302. RNAcentral's name for it is "Bacterial small subunit ribosomal RNA". It matches the Rfam family "Bacterial small subunit ribosomal RNA", at positions 1 to 333 of the family's 1533-position model. The record is from Rfam by way of RNAcentral. Lineage: Bacteria; Bacillati; Bacillota; Clostridia; Eubacteriales; Clostridiaceae.
UUUAUUGAGAGUUUGAUCCUGGCUCAGGAUGAACGCUGGCGGCAUGCCUAAGACAUGCAAGUCGAACGAGAUGGCCCAGUGAAGGUUGCGUGCUUGCACAAGACUGAAUCUGGAUCACCAUCUAGUGGCAGACGGGUGAGUAACACGUGGGUGACCUACCUUUUCGUUGGGGAUAACAGUUGGAAACGAUUGCUAAUACCGAAUAAAAUAUAAGAGCCAAUUUUAUAUUGAAAGGAGCCUUUAAAGCUUCGCGAUUAGAUGGGCCUGCGGCGUAUUAACUUGUUGGUGAGGUAACGGCUCACCAAGGUAACGAUGCGUAGCCGAACUGAGAGGUUGAUCGGCCACACUGGGACUGAGACACGGCCCA